AAAUUGCUUCUGCCGACCAUUUCUCCACGGAAGUAAAGGUGGGGCAGCUAGGAAGGAGAUCCCGGAGGCCAAUUCCAUCACCACCUCCCCCAGAAACCAAUAGAUUUACUCAUUGGUGGAUCGUUACACCGCCACCACCUAUGCCAUCGUUACCGCCACCACCUAUGCCAUCGUUGCCGCCGUCCCCAUCUCCACUAUCGUCAUCUAAAGGCGCAUGAAUUUUA
This 224-nucleotide long non-coding RNA is filed under the name Populus tremula. RNAcentral's name for it is "long non-coding RNA (PTRE_LNC001688)". Lineage: Eukaryota; Viridiplantae; Streptophyta; Magnoliopsida; Malpighiales; Salicaceae. The record is from RNAcentral.